UACGUAGGUGGCAAGCGUUGUCCGGAUUUACUGGGCGUAAAGCGAACGCAGGCGGACCUUUAAGUAGGAAGUGAAAGGUUGGAGCUCAACUCUAACACUGCUCCCUAUACUGGAGGUCUUGAGUGCCGGAGAGGAAGACGGAACAAGUUGUGUAGCGGUGAAAUGCGUUGAUAUAACUUGGAACACCAAUGGCGAAAGCAGUCUUCUGGACGGAUACUGACGCUCAGGUUCGAAAGCCAAGGUAGCAAACAGG
RNAcentral lists this ribosomal RNA (253 nucleotides) under uncultured bacterium. RNAcentral's name for it is "partial 16S ribosomal RNA". It matches the Rfam family "Bacterial small subunit ribosomal RNA", at positions 524 to 776 of the family's 1533-position model. The record is from RNAcentral.